UUGAAAGGGAAACGAUUGAAGUCAGUCAUGCUGGUGGGAAUCAACUUAGGGGAAACUCUGGGUGCACUUCUUCGCUUGGCAGGUCAACGUCGAUUUUGAAUGUCAUAAAAUAAUUGGGGAAGGUAGCUCCUUCGGGAGUGUUAUAGCCCUUGAUAGAUGUGAUGUUUGAGGUCGAGGAUUGCAACGGAUANCUUUGGGGCUACCUGUCUGGUCUCUGAUCGUUGCUCUGGUGCCGAAAGCUUGCUUACGGUUANCAAAGUCGAUGGUCAAUAGGUUAGAACGGGUUAAAUUCGUUAAGGAUGUUGACGUA
Molecule: ribosomal RNA, 310 nt
Filed under: uncultured Glomeromycotina
Lineage: Eukaryota; Fungi; Glomeromycota
Description: LSU rRNA
Source: RNAcentral